UGGGGAAUUUUGGACAAUGGGGGCAACCCUGAUCCAGCAAUGCCGCGUGUGUGAAGAAGGCCUUCGGGUUGUAAAGCACUUUUGUCCGGAAAGAAAUCGCCCUGGCUAAUAUCCGGGGUGGAUGACGGUACUGGAAGAAUAAGCACCGGCUAACUACGUGCCAGCAGCCGCGGUAAUACGUAGGGUGCGAGCGUUAAUCGGAAUUACUGGGCGUAAAGCGUGCGCAGGCGGUUGUGCAAGACAGAUGUGAAAUCCCCGGGCUUAACCUGGGAAUGGCAUUUGUGACUGCACGGCUAGAGUGUGUCAGAGGGGGGUAGAAUUCCACGUGUAGCAGUGAAAUGCGUAGAUAUGUGGAGGAACACCGAUGGCGAAGGCAGCCCCCGUGGGAUAACACUGACGCUCAUGCACGAAAGCGUGGGGAGCAAACAGGAUUAGAUACCCUGGUAGUCCACGCCCU
RNAcentral lists this ribosomal RNA (457 nucleotides) under uncultured bacterium. RNAcentral describes it as "partial 16S ribosomal RNA". It matches the Rfam family "Bacterial small subunit ribosomal RNA", at positions 355 to 803 of the family's 1533-position model. The record is from RNAcentral.